This 387-nucleotide ribosomal RNA is filed under the name Triticum aestivum (bread wheat). Its description in RNAcentral is "partial small subunit ribosomal RNA". The record is from RNAcentral. Lineage: Eukaryota; Viridiplantae; Streptophyta; Magnoliopsida; Poales; Poaceae.
AUGUAUCGUUGCAUCUUCCGACGGCCGACGAUGUCGUUGCAUCUUCCGACGGCCGACGAUGUCGUUGCGGUGCGUUUGGCUUCACAAUGCACAGCUGAGAAGGCAACUAUGCUGACCGAUAACCUGAAUCUAAGGACUGCCGUCAUGGCUCUUCUGGCAUCGGUGCGUUUCACAGGUUGGUUUUCUUUAUCUCCAAAAGUGCAUCAACGCUGUGGAGUAUUUAUUCUCGUGUUCUUGCAUCAUUCAUUGAAUCCUAUGCGCCACUGUCACACACCUUCAUGCCCGUCCCUGGAUCAAGCGUCAUCCGAGGUGCAGCACCGCCCUGGGCAGGUCGUGAGCACUCCUUCAGUCGUCACCUGCACAUCGGCAGGAAAUCCAGUGCCUUGA